GAUGAACGCUGGCGGCGUGCCUAAUACAUGCAAGUCGAGCGAACGGACGAGAAGCUUGCUUUUCUGAUGUUAGCGGCGGACGGGUGAGUAACACGUGGAUAACCUACCUAUAAGACUGGGAUAACUUCGGGAAACCGGAGCUAAUACCGGAUAUAUUUUGAACCGCAUGGUUCAAAAGUGAAAGACGGUCUUGCUGUCACUUAUAGAUGGAUCCGCGCUGCAUUAGCUAGUUGGUAAGGUAACGGCUUACCAAGGCAACGAUGCAUAGCCGACCUGAGAGGGUGAUCGGCCACACUGGAACUGAGACACGGUCCAGACUCCUACGGGAGGCAGCAGUAGGGAAUCUUCCGCAAUGGGCGAAAGCCUGACGGAGCAACGCCGCGUGAGUGAUGAAGGUCUUCGGAUCGUAAAACUCUGUUAUUAGGGAAGAACAUAUGUGUAAGUAACUGUGCACAUCUUGACGGUACCUAAUCAGAAAACCACGGCUAACUACGU
RNAcentral lists this ribosomal RNA (495 nucleotides) under uncultured bacterium. RNAcentral describes it as "partial 16S ribosomal RNA". It matches the Rfam family "Bacterial small subunit ribosomal RNA", at positions 28 to 506 of the family's 1533-position model. The record is from RNAcentral.